RNAcentral lists this long non-coding RNA (1579 nucleotides) under Lathyrus oleraceus (garden pea). RNAcentral's name for it is "Pisum sativum (pea) long non-coding RNA (PSAT_LNC039559)". The record is from RNAcentral. Lineage: Eukaryota; Viridiplantae; Streptophyta; Magnoliopsida; Fabales; Fabaceae.
UAUUGAUUGAGGAAAGUUUAUUUUUGUGUUUUUUGCGUAUUUAAUUAAAAUGUGCUAUAUCAUUCCUUACACACAAGGAAUGUAGAAUAACAUAUUUUAAAAAUAAAAUAACAGAUUUUGACAAACUAAAAUUUAUCCAAUAAAAUUAACUAAUUCAAAAUGAGUAAUUGCCCAUAACUGAAUUUAAGUAACUGAAAUCUGAUAAUAGAGUUUCUUAGCUUUGUUUCGAUAUUUUUGUUUAAUUUUUGUUUUUUUGAAAUGAUUUGUUUGAUAAGCAGGGUGUAGUGGCUAAUCUGAAGAAUCAAAUAUUAUGGUUGCAAAAGGAAAAUCAAAUACUUAAGAUGAAGGUCGAACAAUGAGCUCUAUAAUUUUCCGCACAUGUUUCAUGUCUUCAAUUUAUAUUUUGGCAUUUACUGUUAUUUUGAUCUGUUUAUGGUUAUUUAGAAAUAUUUCCUUUUUUACAAAAUGAUUAACUUGAUACUUUUCCCAAGAAGAAACAUUGGAUUGAAUAAAGUUUUUUAUUUUAUUUUGCAUUAUGGUUAUAUAUUGUUAUUGAUUGAGUAAAGUUUUUCUUUACGUUUUUCGUGUAUUUAAUUAAAAUGUGAUAUACAAUUCCUUACACACAAGGAAGGUAGAAUAACAUAUUUUAACAAUAAAAUAACAGAUUUUGGCAAAUUGAAAGUUAUCCAAUAAAAUUAACUUACUCAAUAUAAGUAAAUACCUAUUAUCGAAUUUCACUAUUAACUGACAUCUGAUAAUAAAAACUAACAAAUUAACUCAAUUGUUUAUCUAUAAGUAUUGGCUUCAGAACUUGUUAUUCUAAAUUCUCAUUUCUAGACCCUUUUACUGUAAUUUCUUUACUUCAUAUUGCACACGCAGUGUAAUUUUCUUGGUUAACCAAGUAGUUCUUGGAAUGAAUACCAGAAAACUUGAAUCUACUGCGCCAUAUUUGGAUACAGAAGAAGUUUUGGGGAUGAAUGGAACAAAACUUGAAUCUUAUGAGCUUCGAAAAGAAAUGGAAAAGUUAAAUCAAUUUAAUCUUUUUUAAUAUGGUGUUUAGUUUUUUGCUUUAAUUGUUUUUCCUUAAUUUUGAAUUUGAUUUUGAUUUGUUAGAGUAUUGUUCUUGAUCGUUGGAGUGGGACGAAGAACAUAUUCACCGAAUUUCUUGAGAUUUCAAAACGAGCUGACGAAGGAUUCUUUUAAUUCUACUUUUGAUUUUUAUAUUAACUUUUUUUCAAUUUAUUUACUUAAUUUUGUUAUGUUUGAUAUUAUAGCCAACCAUUUCUUAUCAAGUUAUCCUGAACAAGAAUUUUGUGAAAUGAUUUGUUUGAUUAGCAGGGUGUAGUAGCCGUAUUGUAGAAUCAAAUACUGCGGUUGCAAAAGGAAAAUCUAAUUCUUAAGAUGAAGGUCCAAAACUGAACUCUAUUACUUUCUGCGUAUUUUUCAUGUCUUCAAUUCUUAUUUUAGCAUUUUCUAUUAUUUUGAACUGUUUGUAGUUAUUUUGAAAUAUUUCUUUUUUUACAGAAUGAUGAACUUGAGGCACUUCCCUAGAAGAAGCAUUGGAUUGAGUAAAGUUUUU